CCAGCCGCCCUGGUCUCGCUGUCUCCUGGCAGGCAGGAGAGGUGUGGAAACAGCCAGGCUCCCCUUAGCAUGGCAGAACUGCUCUGGACUCGGGGAGGUGUGGAUUCGAGGGCGGGAGCUAUGCCUGGCAUACUGGGAGUUGUCAUCUUUGAUUAGCUUCCAGUUUUUUAAUUGCAGGGCGACCGGAUUACCAUCUCAGCCAGCAUGAACAGGGGGUGGCACGCAGUACUGAGGGGGGAAGCCGGGCUGUGCCGGCUUCGCUGUGCAUUCUGGGAGCUGUAGUCUCUUCACCGCUCCUGCCCGUUGUUUCAAGCGCUUCGGGACUACAAUCCCAGUAUUCCCCGGGCUCGGGGGCGGGGCGCAGUUCUCGUGGGAGGAGCGAGGCACCGCGCUCCUGGCCAGGCAAGCUGGAAACGGUAUCUCUUAACGGUUCCCUGCCCCUUGGUGGCAAGGCGGCUGGACUAGAAUCUCAGCAGGCGACAUGCGAGGAGGCGGGCAACCCAGGAGGGUUGGGCAAGGCAGUGUGGACCUCGACGCUUCCACAGCGAUGCUGGCUACUGAUCGCGGGCACCUCUUUGCCAUGGGAAGAAAUUAAUAUUAUGACUGGAUAAGACAAUUGUGAAGAAACUGCACUUUGAGGUUGUCUGUCUCUGUAUUCUGAUGGAAAAGCGUGGAAUUUAGAAGCAUUGCUCACUCCUUCAGUUUCUAACAAGCCAGUUCUUGGAGAUACUAGGAAGCCAAGAGUUUCCUCCAAGAAUGGAGAUUCCUUGGAAGUGAGGUUCACCUUGAGUCAAGAAAGACGAAUCACACGUGGUCAAAGGCCAUUGCCCAGGGUCUCAAGAGUAGCCAGAAAGAAGAGCU
Long non-coding RNA from Rhinopithecus roxellana (golden snub-nosed monkey), 861 nucleotides. RefSeq lists it as uncharacterized. The record is from RefSeq and is a predicted model, not a curated record. NCBI's taxonomy places the organism in Eukaryota, Metazoa, Chordata, Mammalia, Primates, Cercopithecidae. The transcript has 3 exons.